RNAcentral lists this ribosomal RNA (468 nucleotides) under uncultured bacterium. Its description in RNAcentral is "partial 16S ribosomal RNA". It matches the Rfam family "Bacterial small subunit ribosomal RNA", at positions 28 to 507 of the family's 1533-position model. The record is from RNAcentral.
GACGAACGCUGGCGGCGUGCUUAACACAUGCAAGUCGAACGGAAAGGCCCUGCUUUUGUGGGGUGCUCGAGUGGCGAACGGGUGAGUAACACGUGAGUAACCUGCCCUUGACUUUGGGAUAACUUCAGGAAACUGGGGCUAAUACCGGAUAGGAGCUCCUGCUGCAUGGUGGGGGUUGGAAAGUUUCGGCGGUUGGGGAUGGACUCGCGGCGUAUCAGCUUGUUGGUGGGGUAGUGGCUUACCAAGGCUUUGACGGGUAGCCGGCCUGAGAGGGUGACCGGCCACAUUGGGACUGGAAUACGGCCCAGACUCCAACGGGAGGCAAGAGUGGGGAAUAUUGCACAAUGGGCGGAAGGCUGGUGCAGCAACGCCGCGUGCGGGGAGACGGGCUUCGGGUUGGAAACCACUUUCGCCUGUGACGAAGCGUUAGUGACGGUAAUGGGUGAAGAAGCACCGGCUAACUACGUG